Molecule: long non-coding RNA, 955 nt
Organism: Populus trichocarpa (black cottonwood)
Lineage: Eukaryota; Viridiplantae; Streptophyta; Magnoliopsida; Malpighiales; Salicaceae
Exons: 3
Source: RefSeq, a predicted model, not a curated record
AUUAAUAUGUAUGACUGUAUUAGCUGUGUCACAUGAACUUUUCUCUUUAUAUUAUAAUAUUGUUUUUCCUAUAAAUUAUGGUCCACUAUUGCUUAGCUAGCUAAAAUUGUACCAUGAUGAAAACAUCUAUCAUCGCUUUUCUUCUCCUGCAUACCAUUUUGCUCCAUCCUCUCAUUGUUGCUCGACAGCUAAUUGAGUUUGACGGAAAAAGUGGCGUCAGGCAUGAAAUUACCAACGUUGAGGGCAAUGAUGGGAGCAAUGGCAGGAUUUGGAUGCCUCCAAUAAGAAGCUGCUUUGGCAGAAUCGGCCGUGGAUGCGUGCUGCCACCCCCAUCACCGGUGACUAGUUGUGGAGCCAACCAACGCUGCUAUCGUCGGCCACCAACAAAUUAAUGAUUAGUGCUGUAGUCUCGCAAAUGAAAUUGUAAUCAGCUGCUGGUGGACUUAAUUUUGAAGUUUAUCUAAAAAACUCAUUUGGUUUUUCUAAGCGCUCGUAUAAUGUAUUAAUAUUAUAAUUAUUCCAAGUCUUUUGAAUUAUCUCUAGUAUAAAUAUACCAUUUUGCUCCAUCCUCUCAUUGUUGCUCGACAGCUAAUUGAGCUUGAAGGAAAAGGUGGCCUCAGGCAUGAAAUUACUAACGUUGACGGCAAUGAUGGGAGCAAUGGCAGGAUUUGGAUGCCUCCAAUAAGACGCUGCUUUGGCGGAAUCGGCCGUGGAUGCGUGUUGCCACCCCCAUCACCGGUGACUAAUUGCGGACCCAACCAACGCUGCUAUCCUCCACCAACAAAUUAAUGAUUAGUGCUGUAGUCUCGCAAUGAAAUUGUAAUCAGCUGCUGGUGGAAUAAAUUUUGCAGUUUAUCUAAAAAACUCAUUUAGUUUUUCGAAGUGCUCGUAUAAUGUAUUAAUAUUGUAAUUAUUCCAAGUCUUUAGCUACAAAUUCAAGAAUUUUCUCACUAAA